RNAcentral lists this long non-coding RNA (228 nucleotides) under Prunus persica (peach). Its description in RNAcentral is "long non-coding RNA (PPER_LNC008333)". The record is from RNAcentral. Lineage: Eukaryota; Viridiplantae; Streptophyta; Magnoliopsida; Rosales; Rosaceae.
GAGAGGGCAAUUCAAGUAGAAUAUGCAAAAGAAAAGGAGUACGUAAACAAAGAAAACAUUGACAAGAAGGAUCGGGAAACCAUGGUCAUGGAUACAAGCCAUAUGUCCCCUGAAACAAAAUAUUUUGGCUAGGUUUCCCUUCAAAGGCGAUGGUUUCUUCAAUCAAAGCAUGUCUUUUACUUGAGCCAAGAUCUAGUGUAUAGGGAUAUUGAACUUGGUGUAGCUCUC